This is an RNA transcript of Zeugodacus cucurbitae (melon fly), 1315 nucleotides long. It is a transcript of the gene named pyrimidodiazepine synthase, with no coding region annotated. Lineage: Eukaryota; Metazoa; Arthropoda; Insecta; Diptera; Tephritidae. The record is from RefSeq and is a predicted model, not a curated record. The transcript has 4 exons.
UGUAUAUAUAAAUAUGCGUAGAUGAGUUAAUUUUACUCAGUCGGUGACUUAAUAAUUGGAGAACAAUUUCUAUUGGCAAAUAAGUAAUUUUUACUAUAAAAUUAAAUUGUUUACAAUAAUAAAAAGCAUAAUGAGUGGCGGCAGACAUUUAGCUAAAGGUUCACAAAAACCCGAACUACCAGACGAUGGUAUUUUGCGCUUAUAUUCCAUGCGGUUUUGCCCAUAUGCUCAUCGUGCUCACCUAGUACUUGACGCCAAAAAUAUACCACAUCAUAGCAUUUAUAUUAAUCUCACUGAGAAACCAGAAUGGCUUACUGACGUCAGCCCACUGGGUAAAGUGCCGGCACUACAGCUACCCAAAGAAGAAGGCAAUCCAGCACUAAUUGAAUCACUGAUAAUUGCUGAGUAUCUUGAUGAGAAAUAUCCCGAGGUACCACUCUUCCCCAAAGAUCCACUCAAGAAAGCACAAGAUAAGAUACUUAUUGAGAGAUUCAACUCGGUGAUUGGCGCAAUGUACAAAGUAUUCUUGGGUGGCAAUGAAGCAGCACCUGGUGCGCUAACUGAGAUCUCGAAAGGUUUAGAUGUUUUCGAAAAAGAGUUGAGCUCGCGUGGUACACCAUACUUUGGUGGCGAGAAACCCGGCAUGUUGGACUACAUGAUUUGGCCAUGGUGCGAGCGUUCGGCAAUGUUGAAAUAUUUGCUACCCGACAAAUAUGAAUUGGAUAAGGAACGUUUUGGCAAGUUGAUUGCAUGGAAGGAUUUGAUGAUCAAUGAUGCCGCCGUAAAGGGAUUCUAUUUGGAUGGUGAAACACAUGCCAAGUUUAUGAAAGCGCGCCGUGAAAAUACUCACGAUUAUGAUAUGCUCGUGUAAGGCAUUUUCAUUGUAUACAUUCAACAAUUUUACAUCGUAGCUGCGUGCUGAAUAUAAUUGUUAAUAUAUAAACCACUGAACUUAACUAAUACUUUGAAGCACGACAUUCCAACAAUCAAAGUUAUAACAUAUUUGAUAACAUUAUUUUCUUGUAUACAUACUAAAAACUUAUGUAUAAGUUAAACGAUGCUAAAAGGCAAAGAACUUGUUGAGGCUAAAAAGACGUUUUAAUUGGUUGUGGGAGUAUUAAAUUACUGUUUCGAUUUCAUUGUAUUCCAAUUGUCAAUCUCAAAAGUAACGGAAAAUAUCACACCACUUUACAUAUCCAUGUAAAAUUACUUUCAUUCUUAUAUAUCGCAUAUAUUUUUGUACAUAUUCAUUUGAUGAAUUCAAAUACAACGCAUUUGUUUUGUAAUAAAUUUUUGAUAUAUUUUAUUAGCGAUA